Molecule: long non-coding RNA, 11856 nt
Organism: Pipra filicauda (Wire-tailed manakin)
Lineage: Eukaryota; Metazoa; Chordata; Aves; Passeriformes; Pipridae
Exons: 8
Source: RefSeq, a predicted model, not a curated record
GGGCGGUCGUGGGCGAGCCCCCCGCGGGGCGGUCGUGGGCGAGCCCCCCGCGGGGCGGUCGUGGGCGAGCCCCCCGCGGGGCGGUCGUGGGGAGCGUGGCCGCUUGCUGGCCGGGGCCGCUGGAACAAGUGUGUGCAGUGCCUCGGGCUGGAGAGCUCCGUGCGGCCGGGCAGCCGCCCGCUCUGUCCUCGGGAGCUCCGGGCGCCCGGCAGGGACGUACCCAGGCUUUUCUGCCUUCUCCAGGCUGGUCUCUCCCUUCCUGGUAGACGCCCAGGGCCCGCCAUGGGAGCAGCAGCCCGCGAACGCGCCUUGCCCGUCGCCUCUGUCACGCCUGGGGCAGCCGGUCUGUCGUUGUAGCUGGAGGCUCGCCUGCCCCUUCGCCCUGGGGCCAGGUGUGCUUCCUGGUGCUGGGGCCAGGGACUGCUUUGGCGUCAGGGAUGUGCUUGUGAGAACAAGUUGACAACACAUUACAUCAGAAAAGGAGCGCGAAGAGAGACGCCAAACAUUUUAAACCAGUAAAACUGUUCCCUUUUUUUUUCUUAAGUAAAACCAUCAGAAUUGCGGAAUUUCGAAGUAUUGAAAUGGAAGUAAUGGCCGGCGUUACUCCCUGCAGGAGCCAGGGACGAGUAGGGAGGUGGAGUGAGGUGGACGCUGGUCUGACUUGCAGGGGUUUCGGUGCUUCCCUGGGCGACUGGAUUCUGCGCUGGACACACGGGAGCUCCGCUGCGGUGUCGGGCACGUCACCCAGGCACACUUGGUUCAGUGUAGAACAAGGCACGUCUUUACAGGCGCCGCCUGAAGUAUCUGAAGUCAACUUUGUUGUUAAUGUAAGUUUCAGGAAUCCUGGGCGGGUGCUGAAGCAGGCAGAUACAAUAUAGUCUUUGUGUAUCUUGGUUCCCUUGCUGUCAAAUAAGAAAACGCAAACCCCUUCUUCAAACGAAAGUAUUUUGAAAAGUAUUCGUGAAACACUCCUGGCAGUUGAUGAGGAAAUUCAUUUGAUAUUUCAUGCUCUUCAGUGAAGUCUUGAGACACAACUUGAAAUAAAGGGAUAAAAAGAAACGCUAAAUGUUCACUGAACUGUGCAAAGAGAAAAAGACUAUGCCUGCCUAAUUAGAGAAUGUGUACUAAGACGUUUUAAUUCUUGUUUAAAAAAUGAAAUUCAGAGGGAGCUGGGGGCAGUGUCUCGCUACACCUUUUGGCUGACAGAAGCCUUUGCUGCAGUAGGUCGCUCUCGCGGGGAGCAGCCGGCAGAGGGAGAUGGGACGCACCUAUCCUGGAGACUCCACUGAUGUUUCACGAUCAGAAAAUGUGAGAAAAAUCCCAUCAUCAUAAUGCAGAACUAAAAAUGUAGUCAUGUUUAGUAGAUUAUGACCCAGAGUUAAGAAUGUGAACAGCAUUGCUGCAGAGAGGAAUUUUAAGUGAUGUAUGUGAAACUGCCAAAAUGAGAAUUGCAGCCGAAGGAAGUGAGCCAGCAGUCUAACUACAAUCAAUAUCCAGGUUAAGUAAACAAUUACAGUCUGCCAGAGUUGGAAGAAAAUCCACGCAGCCUGACAGGGUGCCUGCAGUGUCUUCAGUUCUUUUAGAUCUGUGGGGUGGUCUUUCUUAGAUCAUCUCAGGUGAUACCAGGCUGGAACAUCGACCACUUCCACCUUGUGAGUGUUCCCAUCAGACUGUUCCUACCUCUGUCCAACAUGUGAGCCAACCCUAGCUGUAUUUCCCAAUUAUUGAAUAGAACUUGUCUAUUCAAUAGGAUGGCAUCUUUUAAAUUCCUUGAAAUUAUCUUCUGAAAAAAGCUACUCCUGCAACAAAACAAAGGCAAAGUCAUUUUAGAAUAGUUUUCAAAUUGUGGUUCAUAGCUGCAUUACACCUCAGAAAUAGCUUGGCUAUCUGUCACAGCGGGCACGGCUUCCUCUUCUGUCCCCAUACUCUGUAUACAAAAUGAUGGGUUAUUAUACAAAAGUUGUAUCUCUGUCUUAUUUACUGAAGUGUUGGUUCCUAAAUAAAGGAUCUCAACAAUGAUUUGAGCUGGCUGAAAACCUGCUUGAAAAUUAUGUCUUUCAGUAGAAGGUUUUACACAAACUCUGUUUCUGAAGUUAAAGUACUUCAAUUCCCAAUGAUAAAAUUCAUUAAAAUAUAAAUUAACCUAAACAAACAGAUGAAUCACAAUGGUAUAUUUGCAUAUCAUCUAUUUGGUGUGAAUGUAGCAGUUUCUUCGUGUAGACUAACAGCCACUGCAAUCUUCACAACUGCAUCAUUGAGGAAAUGACUGUGGGGUGAAUGAGAAAGCAAAGAGGACAAGGACAAAAAUUAUUUCUGCUGAAUGGGAAAGAAUGCUGCAGAAUUCUGCAGUUGGAAUUAAACCCUACAUUAAACCAGUUUCCUCCACUACGACGUAUCUCAGCUAAUCAAUUAGCAUAGGAGGUUUAUGACUAUCUCAGUAUUAUAAUAAUAGACAAGGAUUUAAGGAGAUAUCAUGUUUUGAUUGUAUUUUCAGAAUUGUAGAUAAUUAGUGAUUAUUGCAAUGAGGGUGAAUAUCAUCUAAGAAAUAAAGGUGAAGAGUGAUCAGGCUGGAUGGAAUGAGAAUGUCUUAUCUCAGGGGAGAUAAAUGGUCCACCUGCAGUAAGACCUUUCCAUCUGCAAAAGGCAGCAACAAAAAUUUCUAAUAAAGUUUGACCUGUUAUUCUGUAAGUAAUAUAUUCAAGACUCCAAUACGGAGUAUCUUGUCAAUUCCUCUUAGUAAAUGAAGCUGAACUGAUACAGCAGCUUGUGCAGUUCCUCUGAUCUGUACCAGUUCUCUGUAUAUGCCUUCAUGUGUAUUUCCGUGAAUUACUGAUGCACUUGGCCAGUGAGUUUUCUAUGACUUCAAAGCCAAGACUUUCACUUUGCCUUAUAUAAAACAUGCCCAGAAGCUGGGUACUGAAGAAAAUAAGUAAGGAGAAAAAUAUUGAUUUUUAGAUGUUAGGAUAAUCUAAGAAAAUUUUGUUUGUUUUUUCUUUAUAUUUCUCGUUUGUUGCGAAUACUUCCCACGAUAUUCUUUUGUAGUAAAUCAAUUAGCUCCAUAUAAAUGCAACUAAUAACUGCAAAUAUGUCAUUUGUAACAUCCAGAAAGUGCUAUGGCAUGGAAGGAAAUAUUCUUAAGAGACACUAUUCUACAUGUGUCCAGUUUUCUAGGGAAAAGGAUGAAGAACAGAUUGGUUACUCUUCAAGAAUGAUGGUCAUCAGGCUCAUUGUUGACUUUUUGAAAAGGCUUAUGGUUGACAUCAUACAGCACAAACUUGAUUAACUCUAAUAUAAUUUUUAGCUUUUGUGAUGCAACUCAGUUUGUUGUUGUGCAUUGCUCUGACAAUGUAGUGUUAGAAAGACAGUCAAAAGAGCCAAACAGUCCCAGAUUUAUGCCCUUUUUAGAAAUGACUAAGACAUUUUGAAUCCUAUAGAUUGACAGACCUUUAUACUUCUGAAUCACCUAGAAUAUCUUUGAAAAUAUGACCUUUAAUACAGUCCCAUCUUUCUAAACAGCUUCAAGGGUCAUCCCAGCGUUUCCAGAUAAAUUUGGAGACAAAUAAAAUGAGGAACUGCGGAGCUCAGCCUUAACCUGAGAAAGAAUAAAUCACAAGAUGUGGAAAAAAAAGAAAGUUCCCUGACUACAGAUUUUCAAACAAUACAAUUUUACUUUAAUAUCAUAUCCCACAAGUUCUUCAGUCACAUGAGAACCUGAAGCGUGAAGAACUGAAGCCAGAAAGAGUAUUCUUACUAAGGAAUAUGACAGAAAUGACAGUUUGGCAAUCUUCCAUAUCAGAAGAACAGCCACCAGCAGGUGAGUUGAGAGGACAAGAUGUGGCCAGCUUGGCACACGUACAUUUGUAUUCCAAGAAGGAAGGAUUCUUGACCCCUCCAUGAACUCAGUGGGAUCAGUUCUGGCCUGAGCUCCAAUGCACAGGGAAGCUGAGAGAGGUGCCCACAGGACCCCACAGGCUGGCCCAGAGAAGGUGAGCUCAUCCACCUUGAAUGGGGGAAAUAGGCUGCUCAGAGUGAACAGCCUGAGCGAGGUUUGGACUGUAUUUGGCAGCCCACUGUGCUGCUGAUCUUGCAGGGGCUAGGUGAGGUCCUUAUCCAUAACUGCAGUCUAGAAAUGCGCUUUUUAAUUUUAGUUUUUAUUUUGUGAGUUUAUUCAAUGUGGUGUGCAAGAGUCUAACCACUUAUUUUGCUGGAUUAAAUGUAUCCUGUUUUCAUCUUUUAUUUUGACAAGUGAAAGGCACAUUCCCUAUGGCUGAUUCAGGGCACUUUCUUACUGGUGGAGCAGAGAACUGUACACACUGGCACACAGGUAUUCCCUCGGAGCAGAGAAGUGGUUUCCCACCUAUUUACUGGAGUCAGCUUGAGGGCAAGUAACAGGCAGUGCUGGGUCAGUCUCCCUCGGCAGGCACAGCCAGUCUCUAACAAGCAGCAGACCUCUAUUAUUUUGAAGAAGUCCGCAUCUGUCUUGAUGACAGUGUAGGGAAAGUUAUUUCACCACUGUAGUGGCAUCAGAGGACACUCUCAGCAAGAAGUAACCAAUCUCUUUGGAGCUUGCAAAGGAAGGUGCAUCCCACAAAGCUAAUGUUAUGUGCACCACUUGUAGACAGAUUACGUUACAUGAAUGAGUUUGAUAGGAGUCACCAUGGUGAGGAAAGGAUAAUGGAAUUUCAGUAAAUGAGAAGUAACCUCUGCAAAGUCCAAUCAGAGGGAAUUUCAGCUCUUUAUAUUGCCUUGUGUCUGCUGUCUUGUACACUGGAGCUGUGCAAGUGAACUAAAUUCAGCACAGAGCAUUAAACGCUGUCUCUUUUGUAAUUAACAUCAGAGAGCUGUAUGAAGUCUUGAAGCUAUGAAAUCCUGCAAGUCCUGUCGAAAAUAUUUCUUUAUACAGAUCUUAAGUGUUAUUCAAAGGAAUUCACCCUAAAAGAUGGAGAACUGCUGGGACAUGAAGAACAUAAAGCUCUAAGACUGUAUGUUGGAGAAAAGUUCCCUCAGAAGCGUGUGUUUAGAUGCCUUUGGUGACACUUGCUGCCUUGCCUGCCAUGCCUGCAAGUGUGGCCUCACUUUCACUGUUAUUGCAACGUGUCAAGUGAAAUGAAAACAGAAAUUUGGGAAAGGAUAUAAUUAACCUACUUGUAAACAUUAACCUUAAAUAUCUACCUAAUUAUCUCACUAAUUUAAUCACUGCAUAUCUCAAACUUGUUUGUUAAAUAUUUAAUUCUGCAAAUUGUUUUUGAUACAGAGGUGUGGGGAGCUUUCUGUGAAUGUAAGUUACUCUGUAAAACUCUUUGCAAGAUCAUUGUUGUGUUCGCACUUCAUUGAACAAACCCUGCUGUCAACAAGACUUUUAAUGGAAAUCACAGGAAACUAUGCCCUGAGGCUAAGAGAUAUUGUGCCCUAUUAUUUUAAAAUCUAAUGAACACAUUGUGCAGAAUGUAGACCGGGGUAAACUUCUUCCUGCAUAUCUUCCGAUUUGAUUCCAUGGGAGUCUAGAGUGGAAAGUUCUGGGUUUCCUUGUUUCUUUGGUUGCAGUGCAGCUGUACGGUUGUUUCUUACCUAUUCACCUCUUUAUUACUUGGGGGACUUAGCAAAAUGCUGUCCUUGAUCUUCAGCCCUUUUUAUCAAGUCACUGCCUCGUGCUAAAAGUAAUCUAAAAGGUGUUUAGAUGCUGCAGUUACAAUGCCACUCAAAGUGGCUCUAAUUAUUCCUGAGAGGAAAGUUUUGAAUUGGGAGUGUUUGUUGAGAAGAUGAAAGCUCCAUGUUUGUUCCUUCCUCCCGGAUGGGAAGGGGGCUGUGCUCGCACUGCCUCCUGCAAACACACACGAGGCCCAGCUGAGCACUGCAAGGAGGGCCUUGGGGAUGCCUCCAGCUGCUGGGGCUGGGAGAGGAAACAGCCAGGCUGUGGGUGCUGAGGAAAAUCCCAGAUGGAGCGGACAGCUAACCCAGGACAAGCUCUAGAGGCACCUGAAUCCUCUGUUCCAUGAGAAGGUAGGGGCUCUCAGCUGUGCAGUGCCUCCCCUCCCUCUAUCACUCCCCAGGGGCUUCAGCCAGCCCCACAUUUCAGGCUGUACCCACAUGGCGGUUCUGCAAUGCUAUUUUCUUCAUUUUUGUUAUAUAAGUCUCCUUAAUUGAGGAAGAAGGUGAAAGAUUGGGACUAACAUUGUGUUUCUGCGCUGUAGUUCUCACUGUCAGAUGAAGGUGCAAAGCUGCACUAAAUCCAGGUGAUGGCUCACAGCAGACCUCUGACAGGAGCCAUGUGAUUAGUUAGAUGUCCAUAUAAAUACCUAUUUGCACUAUAUUACUACCUUAUCAUAUAUUAUUUGGAAUUUCAUCCUGAUUGUCUGUAUUUAUUACAUACAAUUCAUACAUUUAUUUAUUACAUACAAUUCAUGUAUUUAUUAUACACAAUUCAUACACUUAUUACACACAAUUCAUUUAUUACAUGCACAAUUCUUACUGUUUAGUUCAAUGAGAAACAAAUUUCUGUGAAUUUGGCUGAAUAAAGCUGUGUUUGUUCUUGUUAGUUAUCCAAAGUCUCGUUCUUUCUAUGCAUUAUCUCCAUUUCUGGGCAUUUUUCCCCUUCAUUUACUCCAAAAAUUACUUCAAUACUAAUGAAAACUGAAAGACAGCCAAGACAGGGUGAACUUUUGGACAAUUUAUGCAAACAUGACAGAUGAGAAUAGAUUUACUAUAAACAUGCCAGGCACAAAAGACUUGACUGCUUUUUAAAUACAGUGAUACUGGAAGAGAUUUAUGGAUAUUUUCAACUGUUCAUUAAAGAGAAAGAUAUUUUGAAACUAUAGGCACUAUCCUUUUAUCUGUUUUUGCCUUCCAGGCUGAGUUGCAAAUGUUUGAUGUUUUCUUCACCAAAAAAUAAAAGUAGUUAUGAAUUUAUUUCUCCCAAGCACUUCAAUUUUUGUGUCAAUUUACAGUUUUUAUUGCAUUUCUGGCAGUCCAAAUUAUAGUGUUUGGAGAGCACCUAGAGUCCACAGCUCUGAGUUUUCCGAAAAUAGGAAUGAAGUUCACUUAGUGAUGCUUUCUGGCCACUGUCUUUUUUCUUCUCCGUUGUCAUAAAAGGUUAAUAAAAUCUAUGAAUACUUUAACUGCCUGCUAGACCAACCAACCAAUAAAAGGUUAUUCUGAUCUAAGUUACUGGAAGCCUCUUGAACUGAGAAAGCUAACAUGCAGUAACUAGUACCUGCUGGAUCAGAUUAAUAAAAUGCAAAGUCCUAGAGAUGAAAAUCAUGUCUAAAUAUGGUCCUUGUAGUUGUCCAAGGCAUCAGUUCCUAGAGACAGAUAGGCAUAUACUUAACUGUAUAUUCUCAGAGUCUGCUUCUGUGCCCUUAAAAAUCAAUAGUAAGCCUUGCUUUCAACUUCAGUGCAACUGAGGUUGUUGGCAGUCGAUGAUUUUGCAAGAUCAGUUCAAGAUAUCGGAAUAGUUUCAUGGAAUUAUUGGAUUCUUUCUUUCUAAAAUAGUGUUAAACUCAUAUAAGUAGUAAGAAUUUAAACGUGAAAAUAUAUGCUCUUGCAUUGCUUCUUAAAAACAGUGUAUCUUGCCAAAUCUCUCCUAUCAAGUCAAAACAGUGCACCAAAAUGAUAGCAGGAAGAAUUGUGCAGUGCUUGAAAAAUCUAAUCCUGCAUACUCACAGUGCUGACUAUGCCCUCAUUCUUUGAAAAGAUGGAGAAAGAGCAGAUUUGGAUGGAAAAUAACAGUUUUCAUCGCAACCUUAGAAAGAUAUUGACAAUUUUUUAGCAGAAUCAUUUGAGCAUUCUGAGAGCCUUCAAAAAAAGGCAGAAACCUUAAUAAAUGCUUCAUUUUGGAAAAAUGGAUAGCUGAAAGUACUAUUUUAGCAAUUUUUACUGGACUUGCAUUUCCAGCUUUUUAAAAUUAAUUUAAGAGCCACAAACCAACACACAUUUAUGAAUAACAUAAUGAAGUUGGAGAUAAUGCAAAUGUCUUUAUAAAUAACAUGGUAUAGCUUAAAUCAUUAUUUUUAAUGCUUCUUUUUUUUUUUCCCCCUAUAAGAACAGGUCUGUGCUGGUCUGCAUUAAUUAAAUCUAGGUAGGAUUCUAAGGCCAGAUCAUCAUUACUUCUGUGUCGCUGAUUUAAAUCUGCAGUAAAACAUUUCUCCAUUUAGUUUGGUGCUUUUGUGUCAUAUUUCAUACACUAGUUGUCUCUUAAUUAAAUCCAUGAUGGCCCACCAACACAGACUAUUAAAAUAACUAUACUUUGCACUUGACAUAUUUAUGAGACAGAUUCAUAAGAGUAUAGACUGAUACUUGAACUACUCACUGAGAAAUGCUAAUAAGAUUAUGAUGAAGGUAAGAUUAGAACAUUCGUCUCCCUUUUUGCUUCUCUCUUCUUUUUAGAAAUUUAUUUUUAUAACUGCAAUUCACUAUUUCUAUUCCAGGCUCUUUGAUGUUGUUGUAUAUACCAACAGUUCUUUCUGUGUGGAUUUAUUGUGGCAAUGAAGAGUGGGAAACUGCUAAUUUAUAUUACAUCAGUAAAGUGCGUAACUAUCGUGUUCCUUGAAUUAUGAAUGUUUGCAGACGUCUGUAAAACCUUCGCAUGGGAUUGACAUGUGCAAGAUAAUACCUUUGGAAUUGGGUGAUGAAAAAUAUGGAUUAUCAUGAAGUGCCACAUUGUUUUUCCUUUACUGCCUUACUCCUUCAGAGCUCCUGCAGGUGUAGGGCCGGCUGAGUCUGCUCCUCUGUGAGGGAGGAGGCAGUGGCGUUGUGCCUGUGACCCCUCACUGCAUGUUGUGCCAGGCAGGAUGUGGCCUUGGUUCCCCAGCUCCAUGUUUGAGAAAAACAUUGCUGAAAGAGCUGCUGAAUGAAAAUCAUCAAGGAUUUCUAUAAUUUUUCAGGACCAAGAUGUUCACCUCUGAGGGAUCUUUCCUCUCUCUCCCUUUUUUCCCAUUCACAUUCUUUCAUGGAAGGGCUCCCACUCAUGACUGUGUCUGGGGUCCAGGUGUGGUCACAAAUGGAGAGCAGCUUGGAGGGUAUUAAUUUUUCAAGUGGGGUAUACAGAAACCCAUAGCUAUAUGGUGUUCAGAUUUUUUUGAGGGUAAUACAUCCCUGUGCUUCAUUCUGAUAUUCUCCAUGAAAGUGGCAAAAACAUCAAAUGUUGGGAUUUGAUGUAGAGAUAAAUACAAUAUUAGAAAGUAAGAAUAAUAAAGAUAUAUUAAAUAUUUCAUCCUCUACAGAAAUAAACCAGCUACAGUUCAGGGAGCUUCACUAAACACAUUAAGUCUAAUAAAAUCGCCUACACGUACUCCUGACACUAGUAGUAAUUAAAAUAACUUGUUUCAAAAAACUGGUCCUAUACAUGAAUACUUAUUGGCAAUUAUUUCUAAGUUCUUCAAACCAAAGAUAAAGUAAUUUGAUUCACACACAAUGUUCUUGUAAACGUCGUUCAUACUGAGUUUUAUAUGCAGCUUAGGACUGUUAAUUGCCAUUUUGAGCCUCACAGUAAAAUAGAGUUCAAUAUGUCGCUUUUUCUAAAGUAUUGAGAAAUGUUUGAGAAAUGCUUGUCUUAGUCUAAUCAACUGUGAAUAAUUUAUUUCUUAGUCCUACUUUUCAAUAUAAAUGGAUCUGACUUUUCUCCGAGCUUCUCAAGUCUAAUCAACUUGUUACAUUCAUUUAAUUAGGGAAAUCUGUAACGAACUGUGAAAUGUAUGUACCAACAGGCUUUUUUGUUGUGUAAAAUUGGCAUAUCUUCAUUGUGAAUGUGAUUGUGACUGUUUAUACUGACAGCCUCUACUAAACAAAUAAUUUUUUUUUUCUACACAGAUAGGUCAAUAUAAAUAGCAUAUAAGCUCUUUUCUGAGCCACCUCUCUCCUGUUGGACCCACCACCCAGCUUCCCCAAUUCACGCAGUUGUAGCUUUCAGGCAAUUCUCAUUUCUGCGACAGAAGUGUUCUUCCAUGCUUCAGACUGGAGGAGGAUGUAGUAGAGGUGUGACAUAUAAGAGUGUGGAUAAGAGACUUUUUAGUCACAGUGAGCCUGAAAAAGAUCAUCACAGUAGAAUAUUAAAACACUGGCACAAGCUUAUGGUCAGGAUCUGCACGUCACACAGUUACCCACAAAGGGGUGAGCUCAGGCACUGAGUAAAAGUCCUGUGUUUCCCAGCCUGACAUAAUUUGUUCUCAUUUCUCUGAGAAACAGCAUCAUAGGAAGGGUAAAAUAAAGGGCUCUUAUAUCGCAUAUGCAUUUGUUUUUAAAAAGACUAUAUUUAUUUGUUAAAAGAUGUUCAGAAGUCCAUCAUUUCUCCCAUAUUCCUGUGAUAUGAGAAAAUUUUUUAUUAAAAAUAAAGAGAGAUGCUGCGGGGAUUGAUGUAUUAUUUUUUUUCUCCUUGUGCUCAGACAAAUUCUUCAGACUCAGAGAAAAAGUCCUCAACCCUGGUCUAAAAUACUGUCCAGUGCUUAUGGGUUAUAAUAUGAAAAUCAUCAAAACUGUCCUUGACAGGAUGUUUCUUUCAAUUAGUUGAUUAAAAUGGUUUAUUGUUGCCUACAGCAUCAUUACUUUAAAUGUAUUUUUUUACAAAGAGCAGAUGUGUCCACUGUUUCUCUUCAUGUGGUUUCUGAUAAAUAUGGAAGUGAAAUUACUAUCUUGGCAGAUCCCUCCCAUGGAAUUUCAGAAAGGGAGAGGGAAAGGUGAGGGGCUCAGUGAUGGGGCUGGGGUACCUGCUGAGUUGGGAGUGCAGGGCAGGGCAGCGGUGGCAGCACUCGGGCACAGGGGUACAAUGGCACUGCAAAGAAUUGGAGGCAAAGCAUGCAAACCUGCAAGCACAAAGUGCUCAGAGUAGGAAAAAAAUCUGGCCAAAAUCUGGAAUUAUUUGCCUGGUAAUGCUGUAUGCCUGCUCUGACAAAGCAAGAAGAGGGUUUUCACAUUUUUUCAGAUGGUCAACUCUAAAGUUUCAGUCAGAACAUGGAAGUGGAGAGCAGCUGAUCCUAAAACACUAAAUAAGGUUGCAUCAGUAUAAAAUCUUAUCUAUCUACUGCUGUGACAAAGAAAACUGAAAAGUCUAAGUCUUCAGGAUGCACAUUAUACUUUCUUUGUUUUCUUGUCCCAUCCAUGUUUGAUGGGGGAGCUGAAAUCUCAAUACUAUUUCCAAAUCUAGGGGUCAUUUCAAGCCGUAGUUAUGGUAUGAAUACCUUUCCAUCCCCCAGCACAAUUUUUCUAAGGCAUGUUGUCAUCUAAUGAUAAUGGAGUCUUUCAUUAGUGAAUCACAAGUUAUUGGACAUGUGACCUUAUGUUCAAUAAAUAUUUAUUUGAGAAUUAUAGGUUAAUUAAUUUCCAUUGUUUCUGUUUUAAUUCUAUACAUGCUUAUACUAUACAAUUAGAGACAAACGCAGAGAACCACGAGUAAAUGUUGCUCAUACAAAAUGUUUCUAUUACCCUUUACUUUUAAAACCAUUAAUAGAUUAUUAGGAGAUACAAACAUAGGAGGCCAUGGAUCAUAUUUGCAUGUUAAUGAAAUUCAUGAAUUAUACAUUAUUUGCUAUGGAGAGUACUAGAAACAAUAUUCUUCCUUUCUAAUAGUUAUAAAAGCUAGCAGUUUCCUGGAGCACACAUCACAUCCCCUCUGCAAUACCUUCUAAUAGAAAGAAAGAAAUCCAGCUCUUCAAAGCAAUCUCUCACUAAAUGAAAUAGAUUUGUUUGUGUUGCUUUGCAACACACAAGUGUGACAGUUCAUUUUAAACAAAAUAGUUUUAAUAAUGUCAUUACUAAUAUCUAUUUGGUCAUCUCUCUGAAAAAUGUUGUUUUAAUAGGAAUGUUUCAUUUUAAUAAAUGGCAGAAGGGGCAAGCUGCCCUGAGUCAGCAGGAAGUGGAUAUACACCA